GAGCAGCCUGCAGGCAUGGGCUGAGUCAGCUGUCGUGGGUGCUGUCUUCUCUCACUUCUCUUGCAGCAUUCCUCUGCUUGCCCUGUCCUCUGGGACGCACAGAGUAGCCCAGGGAGAACAGUGACCUCACUGGCUCUCUCUGGUGAUUUGAAAUUACCCGAGUCUGUUUGAGGACCCUCCACUUUGGUGGGUGCUUUCGCUCUGUGACUUAGGAUUUCUGUGCCAGCUGCAGGGUUUCCCAGGUUGGUCCCUCUGCAGGUCAGGGCCUGGUCUGGCGUUCCUUGAUCAAGCCCUCGGUGGCUCCCCAGUGCCCAGUCCAUACCCACCUUCUUCAGCCUGAUUUUUUUCCAGUUCCCUUCCUCACUCCCAGCCAUGCUGUCCAGGCUUUGAUCGGACAGGCUCAUUGCCUAGGCUUGCCUUGGCUUCCUGAUCAGCUUACAUAAAAUUGGCAUCACUUCUCCUUUUCUUGUUAACUUUGCUUUGUGUUUCUUCUUACUACUUAACACCAUUUGUCAUUUAUAUACUUUGUUUAUUCUGUCUCUUACCAUUCUAACUUAAAGACUUUGUUGACAUCUGUAUCCCUAGCCGCUAGAACAGUGCCUGGCACCUCAUAGACCCUCAAUGCUACUACUUGGGGUGAAUGAAUGAAUGAAUAAAUGAAACCCCAAGAGAAGCCCCAUUCUUCGUUCCGGAAAAGGUUGGUACCCAGCUCUCCGUUUCCUGAGACCUAGCACUGGAACUGAGUCACCACUGGAUCCCUCCUAGGACCUAGAACAGAACCUUGCAUGCAGUGGUCAGGCAGGAGAGAGCUGUGGCCUCGUAGGGGGUGGGUCAGAUUUCAUGUAGGUCAGAAGAGAACAUGGCUGGGAACGCAGUCCAGCCCAGGGAGUGGGUGUCUGAUUCUUCACGGAACUCCCUUUUGGAUUUUCUGUUGUUUGGAUAGGCUGCGGUUGGGCUGUCCCUGCCAUCAGCCUGGGUUACGGAUGUGCUGGGAAUGAGGCCUCUUCUUGCCCAGGUUCCCUUCCUCCUCCAUCUGGAUGUUUCUAAACUUGUCUUUUACCUUAUGUCAGACCCAGCGUCUCCAGGCUCCCAGCCGCUCUGCCUGUCCCUGUUUGCCAGGCUUCCCUUCCUGGAGCCUUCCCCCUCCUGGUUCUCCCUGCCUAUGCCCUGGCCUGGCUGAGGAAGGUGCCCUGGUUUUCUAAGGAGAAAGGCAGCAGGAGGUAGGAAGGAGCACGGGCCUUGCAGUAACCAGAGCUGGAUCUGAUCCUGGCCUCCCCACUAAUCCCUAGGGCCUUGGUUGAGUCACUGGCCUUGGACGUCUUUCUCAGCAUCUGUAGUAUGUGCAUUAUAGCUCUCGCUGAGGCAGUUUUGAGGCACAGAUGAGGUCCAGCAUUGAACUGAGUUGAAGUAACAUUACUCACAGUCAGAGCUUCCUGGAGUGCCCGGGAUCUCAGGCUUGCUGUGGCUUCUCCUGUUUUACUGGGAGUUUGAAGAGUCAGCUUUGCUAGUUUCAAGUACAAUCUAGGAAGAGAAUGUAGUGCUUCCUAAACUCUAAAGUGCUGUUCUAAUGGAAGGCAUAUGGAAGUUCCUGGAUUGAAUCCAAGCUGUGCCUGCAGCAACACCAGAUCCUUUAAUCCACUUCACCGGGCCUGGGUUCAAACCCAUAGCUCUGAAGGGAUCUCAGUUGCUUCAGUUAAGUUCUUAACCCACUGUGCCAUAGUGGGAACUCCUAUGUGUGCUGUUUUAAAUAAUUUCCCAGCAAGCCCAAGAAGCAGGUCUUCACUUGGCAGAGAGGAAGCCAAGGACCAGGCAGUUGCUGUUUCAGGACUGGGAUUGGUUGGCGAGCCAGAGGGGCCCAUGACCCCCCUCCCCCAUCUCCUCUGUCCUCUUUUCUCCCCCACAUCCCACUGGCACCCAUUUUGCAUCAGAUCAAUUUUUAAACUGGGUGGGCAUAACUAGGACUUAUGAUCACUUAUGUUAUAUGUAGAGGGCUUAAUUUUCAACUUAUGCCUAGAAAAUCUGAUGGUGGUGACCAGUGGACUUGAGCUCUGGUUGGUGGUUGGAGAGUAAUGGACACAUCACCGGGGACCCAGGUCCCUUCAGGGGACAGCAAGCGCUCUUGGGAACUUGCCAACCAGGACCACAGCUAACGUUGGUGGCGGUUUUGUGAGGUGUUUUCCUUUUGCACUUGAAGCUACCAUGGAUUUUUCAUGGAUUUCCCUUGUGGCUCAUCGUAUUCACUGCCAUGGCCCAGUUCACUGUUGCAGUGCUGGUUCCAUCCCUGGCCGGUGUGCCUCAGGUGAGGCCAAAAGAAAAGUAUGGAUUCUUUGCACUUCCUAUCCCUGGAAUAAAGUGUACUAAGAGAUGCUGGGCUCUGAAAUGUUCAAGCACUUGUUCUGAACAAAUUUUAAUUAGCAAGUAGUCAAUGAGUAGGAGAACAAUAUUGGCAUUUAGAAUUUUCAGUUGAGGAGGUCCCAUUGUGGCCCAGCGGGUUAAGAACCCAGCUAGUAUCCACGAAGAUGAGGGUUUGAUCUCUGGCCUCGGUUCAGUGGGUUAAAGGAUCAGGCACUGCCACGAGCUGUGGUGUAGGUCGCAGACUCAGCUCCAAUCUGGUGUUGCUGUGACUGUGACAUAGGCCGAUAACUGCACCUCCGAUUCAACCCUAGGCCAGAAAUUUCUGUAUGCCAUAGGAGCGGCC
This 2698-nucleotide long non-coding RNA is filed under the name Sus scrofa (pig). RNAcentral's name for it is "lncRNA (ENSSSCG00025010319.1)". The record is from RNAcentral. Lineage: Eukaryota; Metazoa; Chordata; Mammalia; Artiodactyla; Suidae.